Pyrus x bretschneideri (Chinese white pear) is the source of this 856-nucleotide long non-coding RNA. RefSeq lists it as uncharacterized. Lineage: Eukaryota; Viridiplantae; Streptophyta; Magnoliopsida; Rosales; Rosaceae. The record is from RefSeq and is a predicted model, not a curated record. The transcript has 3 exons.
UUCAUUUGUUCCUCUGUUCUCUCUUUCAGCUUUCUCCUUUGGUUUUCAAAAUUCAUUUGUUCCUCUUCACAACAGAAAGUUAUUGGAGUUGGUUGAGUACAUAAAGAAUUGUUGACGUCGAAAUUCUUCAACAAAUCAGGUGUUGAAAAUUAAAAGAUUGCAAUCGUGAUAGAGUUCGAGGGGUGAAAGAUAGAAAUUGAAAAUUUUGAUAGUUAUGCCUACAUGAUAGGGAUUGAAAGAUUGUAGGCAUCUUAGUGUCAACGUAAUAUUUUACCUUCGUAAAGUGGUAAAAUAUGGACAAGAGUUGGUUGACAAUACCCCGAAAUUUUGAAGCGUAUACAACUGGAAUUAAUUUGUUUUUGGAUCAAGCAGUUGCAAAUGGUGUUGGUCCUGAUAAGUUUAGAUGUCCUUGCAAAAGAUGUUGUAAUCGAUAUUCUUUUGUUAGGAACACCAUUGUUGAACAUCUCAUAUUGUAUGAUAUGGAUAAAGAUUAUAAAAACGCUUGUUGGCGACAUCAUGGCGAGCAAAACAUUGGAGAGCAAAAUGUGGGAAUUGGAGAAGAAGAAACAGGAGAUGAGGUGAUUGGCAUGCAUGAUUUUCUUAAUGAUGUAUUUGUCCAACCAUUAACAGAAGAAGGUGUUGGGCCAUCUACUGAACCCCCUAUUGGGGAAGGGCGUCCAGAAGAGGUGCAGACUUUUUUUAAGUUGCUUGAAGAGGCAGAUCAAGAUUUGUGGCCAGGUUGUAAGGAGUUUAAGAAAUUGGAAGCAGUUGUAAGAUUGUAUCAGAUCAAGUGUUUAGCGGGAAUGCCUGACGAGAUCUUCACCACUUUACUGGAGUUAAUUAAAAGAAUGUUGCC